RNAcentral lists this long non-coding RNA (334 nucleotides) under Phascolarctos cinereus (koala). RNAcentral describes it as "lncRNA (ENSPCIG00000035937.1)". Lineage: Eukaryota; Metazoa; Chordata; Mammalia; Diprotodontia; Phascolarctidae. The record is from RNAcentral.
CGGCGGCGUGGUCUUCAACAGAGUCGAGGGCCUCGCUACACGGGGCGAGGCGGGCCGGGCCAAGUGGAGCAGGCUAGUGACUUCAGUGUGGAGCCUGAGCUGAUGCCCAAAACGCCAUCUCAGAGGGACCGCCGGAGAAAGAAAUAGUUUUCCUCCAUGCAGGAUAAGAACAAGCCCCCAACCAGGAAAAGGUUGUCCCACUGUGAGAGACUAAGGAGUCGUUGACACAACCACCAGCUACUUCAGAGCAAAGAUAAGCCAGAGAAGCUGGUUCUGGUGGCAGCUGACAAUAGCUCCGUCCCUCGUCGGACUCUAACCCAAGCAGCAGCAGCCU